RNAcentral lists this ribosomal RNA (231 nucleotides) under uncultured bacterium. RNAcentral's name for it is "partial 16S ribosomal RNA". It matches the Rfam family "Bacterial small subunit ribosomal RNA", at positions 15 to 229 of the family's 1533-position model. The record is from RNAcentral.
GAUCCUGGCUCAGGACGAACGCUGGCGGCGUGCCUAACACAUGCAAGUCGAACGAAGAAUUUUAUUUCGGUAGAAUUCUUAGUGGCGAACGGGUGAGUAACGCGUAGGCAGCCUGCCCUUUAGACGGGGACAACAUUCCGAAAGGAGUGCUAAUACCGGAUGUGAUCAUCUUGCCGCAUGGCAGGAUGAAGAAAGAUGGCCUCUACAAGUAAGCUAUCGCUAAGGGAUGGG